This is a small nucleolar RNA of Bombina bombina (fire-bellied toad), 73 nucleotides long. The record is from RefSeq and is a predicted model, not a curated record. NCBI's taxonomy places the organism in Eukaryota, Metazoa, Chordata, Amphibia, Anura, Bombinatoridae.
UUCUUAUGAUGAUAACCUUGUCCAGUUCUGCUACUGAAUGAUAAGUGAAUGAUAAGUGAUGAUACUGUGGUUA